Molecule: non-coding RNA, 1570 nt
Organism: Cricetulus griseus (Chinese hamster)
Lineage: Eukaryota; Metazoa; Chordata; Mammalia; Rodentia; Cricetidae
Source: RefSeq, a predicted model, not a curated record
AGAAUGGGAAGAGUAUCCUGCAUUAAAGAUAAUGUUGGCUAAUUCUCAUAGAUCCAAAGGGAGAGUACCAAAGAACACCUCUCUCUUUCUCUCUCUGAGUAAUGUCGGACUGUGGGUCUCUGCAUCUGCUCCCAUCUCUGCCACAGGAAGCCUGUCCGAGGACAACUGGAGAAGGCAACAACUAAUGACUGUAGCAGAAUAUAUUAGACACAAUUUCAUUAGUUUUAUUUUAUAUUUUUAGACCAAAAGUGCUUGAUUCUACCUUAGGUCUUCGGGAUAACCAGUAUCAGUUUCCUGGCCAUCUUAAUCGUGUUUGGCAUGGGCUCCCUCUUGUAGAGUGGGCCUCAAGUUAAAUCAGACAUUACUUGGUCACUACCACAAGUUCUUUGCCAACAUUGCCUCAAUACAUCUUGCAGGCAGGAUAUAUCAUAGGUCAGAGGUAUUGUGGCUGGCUUAGUGUAAAGAUUUUUCUUUCAGUACGAGCAUCAGCAUGUUUUUUUUUUUGUUUGUUUGGUUGUGUUUUUUGUUCUUUUUUUUUAAAAUCUCUACAGGACCCCCUCAGACAAAAACUCAAAAGAAGGUAACCUAGUUCUGCCACUGGGAGCUUUCCCUGCCUAGAAGAGGUGGCCAGUUCAUACUUCAUAUCCUCUAUUAUGAGUCCUCACUCACUAAGAUUGCCCUACGAGAUUACAGGAAGCUCUACACCAUGUCCCAAAUAUCCCUCAAUUCCAGAUGUCUAUCACUAUAAUUUCUUCCUCCAUCCCAUCCCCCUAUUUUAUCCCUUUCAUUCCUGCUCCCUCCCACCAAAGUCCGCCCACAAUCUCCAUUCUAUUUCUGCUUACCUGGAAGAGCCAUGCAUCCACCCCCACCAUUCUAGAACCCUCAUCUUUACAUAAACUGUGGAUUAUACUCUAAUUAUCAUUUACCUAAAGGCUAUUAUCCACUUAUAAGUGAAUACAUAUCAUGUGUGAAUUUCUAGGUCUUACUUAUCUGACUCAGAAUGAUAUUUUCUAGUUCCAUCCAUUUGCCUAAAAAUAUCAUAAUGACAUUUUUUAGGCUGAGUGAUACUAUAUUGUGUAUAUCUACCACAUUUUUUCUUUAUUCAUUUUUUGGUUGAGGGACAUAUAGGUUGUUUAUGGUUUCUGACUAUUAUGAAUAUAGCCACACGAACAUAGUUAAUCAGGUGUCUUGGUGGUAGGAUGGUAUAUUAUUUGUGUAUAUACCAAUAGUGGUAUAUAUGGGUCUUGAUAUAGGUUGAUUACCAAUUUUCUGAGAAACUGCAUAUUGAUAUCUCUAAUGUUUAUCCCAUUUUCUAAUUAAAUAUUUGGUCUUAUACUGAAAUUGGCUAUUGUAUAUUGUUCAACUCAUUUCUGUGUAUUCUGAAUGUCAAUCUCUUGUCAGAUUUACCAUUUGAAAGUAUGUAUCCAAUUGUGCCUCUUGUCUCUGAAAGCUAUGUUUCGUCUUUGUUGUAUUGAAGCUACUUGGUUUGAGAUAACCAUAUUAUUUUUCCCUGUGUUUAUAAGUUCUAAUACUAAAACAAAGUCUUGGCUAUAUAAAUAUUUUAAGGAGA